CAGGUCAGCAUACUGCCGUGAAUACGUUCCCGGGCCUUGUACACACCGCCCGUCACACCAUGAGAGUUGGGAAUACCCGAAGCCUGUGAGCUAACAUUUAUGAGGCAGCAGUCGAAGGUAGAAUCAAUGAUUGGGGUGAAGUCGUAACAAGGUACC
Molecule: ribosomal RNA, 156 nt
Filed under: uncultured bacterium
Lineage: Bacteria
Description: partial 16S ribosomal RNA
Rfam family: Bacterial small subunit ribosomal RNA
Source: RNAcentral